CGUAUUAUUCAUGCAUUUUAUUAUUAUUUUUCAUGUUAUAUAUGGCCCUAGCAAGUUGCUAAUAAACUAACUAGCAAAUUAAGUGGCUAGCAAGUAAGGUUGUCACCAGGGGCAACACCAAGUUGGUUACAAUAAUCAAUGUAGUAGUCGACGCGUUUCUGUACAGUAGCAGGGUUUCCACCAUCGCAUUCGAGCGCACCGUUAAUGGCUCGGAUAGUUUCCCCGAAUCCUUCAGCAAUGACCGGCCGAACAUUGUUCAUCCAGUACCAUAGUGCAGUCUUAAAAGCAAUAAGUGGGUCAUUGGCCACGCUUUCAGGGGCGUUUAGUCCGUCGAACCCAAUACUCUCUCCGGCCGGACCGUAAUUGUAGUUCCACGAUAGUUGGAUGGGUCCCCGGCCGUAAUAACCUUUGUUCGGGUUGCAUGGAUACUCCG
This 433-nucleotide long non-coding RNA is filed under the name Rosa chinensis. Its description in RNAcentral is "sRNA RchiOBHm_Chr4g0406281". The record is from RNAcentral. Lineage: Eukaryota; Viridiplantae; Streptophyta; Magnoliopsida; Rosales; Rosaceae.